GCCGUUUUAGAGAUCAGAGUUUGCAAAAAACGUGCCAUUUUUUCUUUCUGAAACUGCCUGGCCCACGUGACGUACAGACCCGUCACAAAUACACGGUUCCCAUGUCCACUCGGACGGAGUCUCCCUUGUAUUUGCACGGCGUACCAUUUUAUACAACUAGAUCCAAGAUCACAAUUACAAUCCACACAUUCACACAAUUAUCCACAACUCAUAUGAUGAAUAAAUCUCAUAAAC
RNAcentral lists this long non-coding RNA (234 nucleotides) under Ananas comosus (pineapple). Its description in RNAcentral is "long non-coding RNA (ACOM_LNC035915)". The record is from RNAcentral. Lineage: Eukaryota; Viridiplantae; Streptophyta; Magnoliopsida; Poales; Bromeliaceae.